This 288-nucleotide long non-coding RNA is filed under the name Brassica napus (rape). RNAcentral describes it as "long non-coding RNA (BNAP_LNC024457)". Lineage: Eukaryota; Viridiplantae; Streptophyta; Magnoliopsida; Brassicales; Brassicaceae. The record is from RNAcentral.
GGACAUGAUAGCCUUCCAUGCGUUGUCCAUCCAGACAACAUACCAUAUGCUGGAAAAUCACUUAUUGUCCACAUUAGUACUGCCCGCAUUUGAAAGUUUUCUUUACACGAAACAUCGUAUGUUUCAACACCUUGAGCCCAUAGUUGUUGCAACUCAUAUAUUAGUGGCUGAAGAAACACAUCAAGUGAUCUCUUAGGAUGCUCUGGUCCGGGAACGAGAAUCGAGAGAAACAAAAACUCUCGUCGCAAGCACAAGUUUGGGGGUAGGUAGUAUGGUGUAAGAAUGACG